UACGUAGGGUGCGAGCGUUAAUCGGAAUUACUGGGCGUAAGGCGUGCGCAGGCGGUUUUGUAAGCCAGAUGUGAAAUCCCCGGGCUUAACCUGGGAAUGGCAUUUGGGACUGCAAGGCUAGAGUGUGGCAGAGGAGACUGGAAUUCCUGGUGUAGCAGUGAAAUGCGUAGAUAUCAGGAGGAAUACCGAUGGCGAAGGCAGGUCUCUGGGCUAACACUGACGCUCAUGCACGAAAGCGUGGGGAGCAAACAGG
Molecule: ribosomal RNA, 253 nt
Filed under: uncultured bacterium
Lineage: Bacteria
Description: partial 16S ribosomal RNA
Rfam family: Bacterial small subunit ribosomal RNA
Source: RNAcentral